Molecule: ribosomal RNA, 253 nt
Filed under: uncultured bacterium
Lineage: Bacteria
Description: partial 16S ribosomal RNA
Rfam family: Bacterial small subunit ribosomal RNA
Source: RNAcentral
UACGGAGGGUGCAGGCGUUGUCCGGAAUCACUGGGCGUAAAGGGCGCGUAGGCGGCCCGGUAAGUAGGGGGUGAAAUCCUGCGGCUUAACCGCAGGGCUGCCUUCUAAACUGUCGGGCUCGAGCACGGUAGAGGCAGAUGGAAUUCCCGGUGUAGCGGUGGAAUGCGUAGAGAUCGGGAAGAACAUCAGUGGCGAAGGCAGCCCCCUGGGUCAAGAUUGACGCUCAUGCACGAAAGCGUGGGGAGCAAACAGG